Molecule: long non-coding RNA, 396 nt
Organism: Oxyura jamaicensis (ruddy duck)
Lineage: Eukaryota; Metazoa; Chordata; Aves; Anseriformes; Anatidae
Exons: 4
Source: RefSeq, a predicted model, not a curated record
AGGAUGAGUUCCAGUCCCAUCUGUGUGACUGAUGCUACCUCCUUCCCCACCUUUUCUUUCAUGCUGCCAGCCUGGAGAAGAUGAGGAGCUGGAGCUCCUUAGAGAGAAUUGAGCUGAAUCUUGGACCUGGAGUCUGAUGUGAUACCCCUGCUUAGCCCAGAUGGCUACAGAGAGCAGAGUGACAGCUAUCAAGACAGAUGCUUCACUCAUGUUGUGAACUGAAGAUUGAUCUGGCUAAGCACAAAUAAGUCCCUCUUGCUGAGCUAACACAGAAGGUGAUCAUUCAAGGGCUGUGGUUAUUCAGACCUGACACAUAACAAUGUGGAGCAACAGACACCCUUCUCUGUGGCGGCAUUGUGUGCUCCUUAUACUUAUAAGUCUCAUCAGUAAGCAACA